AUUGGAGGAAAGCAGGGGAUCGCAAGACCUUGCGCUCUUUGAGCGGCCGAUGUCUGAUUAGCUAGUUGGUGAGGUAAAGGCUUACCAAGGCGACGAUCAGUAGCUGGUCUGAGAGGACGACCAGCCACACUGGGACUGAGACACGGCCCAGACUCCUACGGGAGGCAGCAGUGGGGAAUUUUGGACAAUGGGGGAAACCCUGAUCCAGCCAUGCCGCGUGAGUGAAGAAGGCCUUCGGGUUGUAAAGCUCUUUCAGCCGGAACGAAACGGUCACGGCUAAUACCUGUGACUACUGACGGUACCGGAAGAAGAAGCACCGGCUAACUACGUGCCAGCAGCCGCGGUAAUACGUAGGGUGCAAGCGUUAAUCGGAAUUACUGGGCGUAAAGCGUGCGCAGGCGGUUUUGUAAGUCAGAUGUGAAAUCCCCGGGCUUAACCUGGGAACUGCGUUUGAAACUACAAAGCUAGAAU
RNAcentral lists this ribosomal RNA (471 nucleotides) under uncultured ammonia-oxidizing bacterium. RNAcentral describes it as "bacterial SSU rRNA". It matches the Rfam family "Bacterial small subunit ribosomal RNA", at positions 195 to 647 of the family's 1533-position model. The record is from RNAcentral.